RNAcentral lists this non-coding RNA (104 nucleotides) under bovine gut metagenome. RNAcentral describes it as "SAM riboswitch (S box leader)". It matches the Rfam family "SAM riboswitch aptamer (S box leader)". Rfam says of the family: The SAM riboswitch is found upstream of a number of genes which code for proteins involved in methionine or cysteine biosynthesis in Gram-positive bacteria. The record is from RNAcentral. RNAcentral also lists the same sequence under 1 other name.
CUCAUCAAGAGCAGCGGAGGGAAUGGCCCGAUGAAACUGCGGCAACCAUUGAGCGAUCAAAAAGGUGCCAAUUCCUUUAGGCAUGAAAAGCCUAUGAGAUGAGA